CAGGAAAAGGCAAACUGCUCAGUAACACGUGACUAACCUACCCUUAAGUCAGGGAUAACCUCUGGGAAACUGAGGAUAAUACCUGAUAGGAGAUAUGCCCUGGAAAGACUUAUCUCUCAAACUCGUGCUUAAGGAUGGGGUCGCGGCGGAUUAGGUUGUUGGCGGGGUAAUGGCCCACCAAGCCGAAGAUCCGUAAGGGCUCUUAGCGGAGAAGCCCUGAGAGGGAAUCUGAGAC
This 235-nucleotide ribosomal RNA is filed under the name Candidatus Pacearchaeota archaeon. Its description in RNAcentral is "partial 16S ribosomal RNA". It matches the Rfam family "Archaeal small subunit ribosomal RNA", at positions 72 to 309 of the family's 1478-position model. The record is from RNAcentral. Lineage: Archaea; Nanobdellati.